CCUACGGGAGGCAGCAGUGAGGAAUAUUGGACAAUGGGCGCAAGCCUGAUCCAGCCAUGCCGCGUGCAGGAAGAAGCAUCUAUGGUGUGUAAACUGCUUUUGUACAGGAAGAAACACUCCCUCGUGAGGGAGCUUGACGGUACUGUAAGAAUAAGGACCGGCUAACUCCGUGCCAGCAGCCGCGGUAAUACGGAGGGUCCGAGCGUUAUCCGGAAUCAUUGGGUUUAAAGGGUCCGUAGGCGGUUUAAUAAGUCAGUGGUGAAAUCUGGUCGCUCAACGAUCAAACGGCCAUUGAUACUGUUAGACUUGAAUUAUAAGGAAGUAACUAGAAUAUGUAGUGUAGCGGUGAAAUGCUUAGAUAUUACAUGGAAUACCAAUUGCGAAGGCAGGUUACUACUUAUGGAUUGACGCUGAUGGACGAAAGCGUGGGGAGCGAACAGGAUUAGAUACCCUGGUAGUCCACGCCGUAAACGAUGGAUACUAGCUGUUCGGAGCAAUNUGAGUGNGUAGACGAAGUAGAUAAGUAAUACCUACCGUACGGGUAGGUACGGUUCGUCGAAGAAGUAGAAACGUACGAAAGGAAAGUUAGUACGGACGUGAGGACGUAGACCGAACGGACGACCGACGAGGGGAGGUUAGGGAG
RNAcentral lists this ribosomal RNA (643 nucleotides) under uncultured bacterium. RNAcentral's name for it is "bacterial SSU rRNA". The stretch from base 1 to 535 matches the Rfam family "Bacterial small subunit ribosomal RNA", at positions 338 to 873 of the family's 1533-position model. The record is from RNAcentral.